This 253-nucleotide ribosomal RNA is filed under the name uncultured bacterium. RNAcentral describes it as "partial 16S ribosomal RNA". It matches the Rfam family "Bacterial small subunit ribosomal RNA", at positions 524 to 776 of the family's 1533-position model. The record is from RNAcentral.
UACGUAGGGUGCAAGCGUUGUCCGGAAUUAUUGGGCGUAAAGAGCUCGUAGGCGGUUUGUCGCGUCUGCUGUGAAAUCCCGAGGCUCAACCUCGGGUCUGCAGUGGGUACGGGCAGACUGGAGUGCGGUAGGGGAGAAUGGAAUUCCUGGUGUAGCGGUGGAAUGCGCAGAUAUCAGGAGGAACACCGAUGGCGAAGGCAGUUCUCUGGGCCGUAACUGACGCUGAGGAGCGAAAGCAUGGGGAGCGAACAGG